RNAcentral lists this ribosomal RNA (253 nucleotides) under uncultured bacterium. RNAcentral's name for it is "partial 16S ribosomal RNA". It matches the Rfam family "Bacterial small subunit ribosomal RNA", at positions 524 to 776 of the family's 1533-position model. The record is from RNAcentral.
UACGAAGGGGGCUAGCGUUGUUCGGAAUUACUGGGCGUAAAGCGUGUGUAGGCGGAUCGUUAAGUGUCUUGUGAAAUCCCACGGCUCACCCGUGGAAUUGCUGGGCAUACUGGCGAUCUUGGGCCAACUAGGGGCAACUGGAACAAGCGGUGGAGCGGUGAAAUGCGUAGAUAUCAGGAGGAACACCGACGGCGAAGGCAGCACUCUGGGCCGGUACUGACGCUGAGGAGCGAAAGCAUGGGGAGCGAACAGG